GUUAUUUUUUAAAUGUUUUAAAAAUUAAAACAUAAAAAUAUAUCAUUAAAAAACCAUAACAUUACUAAGUGUAAUGACUUGUCAAUAUGCUGGAAGUUUAGGAAAUUUUCUUCACCGAAACUCUGGAUUUCUAUUUUGUUUUCAGGACACUGGGUUACUACGUAUAAUUUGAGGAUAUGAGGAAUUAUUUAAUUUAAUAUUAAAUUUUCUUGUUACAAUUUGGAACUAUUAUAUUUUAAGAAUCUAGUUAAUUCCGCACUUCAGGCAAAUCUUUAAGUCUGCAAUGUUUUGCAAUGCAAUGAGAGACAGAUAGAUGGGAUGGAUUUAAUGGUACCAAAGAUGGAAAAGUGAGUGGCAAGGACUAAGACCAUCCUUGCUGACAGGAAAGCAGGAGCAAGAGGAGAUGCUCUUAUUAAAGGAUCAUCCUACAAAACUGUCCUUGCGGUUUACUGUAACUAAUGUUUCUAAUGCAAUCCUAAAACUACAUAACACUGGAGGUCAUAUUAGUCAGCACUAGGGGAGAAAUGUCUUCUGCUGAACAACAUCCUUAACACCCCUCAGCAGAAUCAGAGAAUGCGGACAGAAGAAAUGCUCUAUGAGCUGGGGGAGUUUUUAUUAGAAAGGACUUAUCCACUUGGAAAAAAAGCAGUACAGCAGAGGCUAACACCACCAAUCAUUGAACAGAAAAAGGAUUGUAGAGUCAUAACUGGGAAGAAGUGUAAUUCAUCUAGAUCGUUCUUCAAGCUCCAGAGGAUUGUUAUUCAUUCACGGAUUGUGAACUAAAUAUUUCUCUUAAAUGUAAAGUGGACCAGAGUUAGUUUUUUCUCCCUAUGACUUUGGUCAGAUGGCCAUGGAUUUUGUGAACAUUCAAUAAAUAUUUAUUAGUAUUAAUGGUUCUGUAUCUUCAGUGAAAUAUUGUCCUGCCCUAUAAUCCUUUCAGUUUUCAGUCUAAAAUUUUUUUUCACAACAAAUUUUAACCUAUUCUAUAUUUGUUGUAAAUGGAACAUUAAAAACUGAGAAUGACGAAUGGCCUCCUUAGACUGUUGCUUCUCAUGUACAAAGUCAUAUCACGGCCACUGUUUUCUCUGGGUUUUAAAUAUUUACUAAUAGUCUCUAUUUUUAGUCCAUCGUCACUCCAUCUUCCAUGAAAUCAAUGCCAGUAAAACAUCAUUGGAAUCUAUUGGCUACAAAAUAUUCCCCUGCGCUAAAGUCAUGGCAUAAAAGGGGCUGAAAUCCUGGGCUUUCUGGGCAGAAGGAUCUACGAGCGGGAUCGUGGGUGAAACAUGAAGAUGAUGGUGGACAGGUGAGCUACGCAGUUCGUGGAAGAACCAGGGGUCACAUGGCCUAGAUGCUACCCUAGAUGAGAAAGAGUCCAAUGGUUAUCAACAAGUUCUGAAAGGCAAGGCCUAAGGUACUGAAAAUUAUAUUACUCAAAGCUGAAGGCAGCAAAUCUGUUCAUGUUUACACAGUUGGGAAAGUGGACUUGUGUUUUUUACAAGCAAACCAGUGACCAGCCAAUGGCAGGAGACCUUCCCCACCCCUAAAGGUGAUGCUCACCUACCGUCAUGGGUAAAAGGAAGCUCUGGCUCGAAUUCCUCAUGUAUUAUUCAUGUGUGAUGCCACCCAACGUGAUUCAGAGAAGAAAAUUCUCAGUGUGUUCACCAGAGGUGAUUACAUGAGAAUAAAGCACGGCCUGAUUUUUUUUCUUGUUCACAGGAAAAAAAAAA
Molecule: long non-coding RNA, 1727 nt
Filed under: Homo sapiens (human)
Lineage: Eukaryota; Metazoa; Chordata; Mammalia; Primates; Hominidae
Description: HSALNT0378296
Source: RNAcentral